Molecule: long non-coding RNA, 105 nt
Organism: Poecilia latipinna (sailfin molly)
Lineage: Eukaryota; Metazoa; Chordata; Actinopteri; Cyprinodontiformes; Poeciliidae
Exons: 4
Source: RefSeq, a predicted model, not a curated record
AGAAGAAUCUCAAGUGUUCAGAAAACCGACGUAUGAAAUGGAUGAGAUCAAUCCUGACUGGGUUCCAGCACUGAAUAUGGGUCACUGCGAGAGGUAAAUAAUGAA